RNAcentral lists this ribosomal RNA (496 nucleotides) under uncultured bacterium. RNAcentral describes it as "partial 16S ribosomal RNA". It matches the Rfam family "Bacterial small subunit ribosomal RNA", at positions 28 to 506 of the family's 1533-position model. The record is from RNAcentral.
GACGAACGCUGGCGGCGUGCCUAAUACAUGCAAGUUGAGCGAUGAAGAUUGGUGCUUGCACCAAUUUGAAGAGCAGCGAACGGGUGAGUAACGCGUGGGGAAUCUGCCUUUGAGCGGGGGACAACAUUUGGAAACGAAUGCUAAUACCGCAUAACAACUUUAAACAUAAGUUUUAAGUUUGAAAGAUGCAAUUGCAUCACUCAAAGAUGAUCCCGCGUUGUAUUAGCUAGUUGGUGAGGUAAAGGCUCACCAAGGCGAUGAGACAUAGCCGACCUGAGAGGGUGGACGGCCACCUUGGGUCUGAGGCACGGCCCCAACUCCUGCGGGGGGCCGCAGUCGGGAAUCUUCCGCGAUGGAGCAAAGUCGGACCGAGCAACGCCGCCUGAGGGCAGAAGGUUUUCGGAUCGUUAAACUCUGUUGGUAGUGAAGAACGUUGGUGAGAGUGGAAAGGUUAUCAAGUGCCGGUACCUAACCAGAAAGGGACGGCUAACUACGU